UGGUGGGUGUUGGAAAGAAUUUCGGUCAUGGAUGGACUCGCGGCCUAUCAGCUUGUUGGUGAGGUAAUGGCUCACCAAGGCGACGACGGGUAGCCGGCCUGAGAGGGUGACCGGCCACACUGGGACUGAGACACGGCCCAGACUCCUACGGGAGGCAGCAGUGGGGAAUAUUGCACAAUGGGCGAAAGCCUGAUGCAGCGACGCCGCGUGAGGGAUGACGGCCUUCGGGUUGUAAACCUCUUUCAGUAGGGAAGAAGCGAAAGUGACGGUACCUGCAGAAGAAGCACCGGCUAACUACGUGCCAGCAGCCGCGGUAAUACGUAGGGUGCGAGCGUUAUCCGGAAUUAUUGGGCGUAAAGAGCUCGUAGGCGGUUUGUCGCGUCUGUCGUGAAAGUCCGGGGCUUAACCCCGGAUCUGCGGUGGGUACGGGCAGACUAGAGUGCAGUAGGGGAGACUGGAAUUCCUGGUGUAGCGGUGGAAUGCGCAGAUAUCAGGAGGAACACCGAUGG
Molecule: ribosomal RNA, 509 nt
Filed under: Micrococcus sp.
Lineage: Bacteria; Bacillati; Actinomycetota; Actinomycetes; Micrococcales; Micrococcaceae
Description: bacterial SSU rRNA
Rfam family: Bacterial small subunit ribosomal RNA
Source: RNAcentral